RNAcentral lists this ribosomal RNA (117 nucleotides) under Carlito syrichta (Philippine tarsier). The record is from RNAcentral. Lineage: Eukaryota; Metazoa; Chordata; Mammalia; Primates; Tarsiidae.
GUCUUCGGCCACACCACCCUGAACGCGCCGGAUCUCAUCUGAUCUCGGAGCCUCCGCAGGGUCGGGCCCUUUAGUGCUUGGAUUGAAGACCCCCCAGAAUCCCGGGCGCUGCAGGCC